GACGAACGCUGGCGGCGUGCUUAACACAUGCAAGUCGAACGGAAAGGCCCUGCUUUUGUGGGGUGCUCGAGUGGCGAACGGGUGAGUAACACGUGAGUAACCUGCCCUUGACUUUGGGAUAACUUCAGGAAACUGGGGCUAAUACCGGAUAGGAGCUCCUGCUGCAUGGUGGGGGUUGGAAAGUUUCGGCGGUUGGGGAUGGACUCGCGGCUUAUCAGCUUGUUGGUGGGGUAGUGGCUUACCAAGGCUUUGACGGGUAGCCGGCCUGAGAGGGCGACCGGCCACAUUGGGACUGAGAUACGGCCCAGACUCCUACGGGAGGCAGCAGUGGGGAAUAUUGCACAAUGGGCGGAAGCCUGAUGCAGCAACGCCGCGUGCGGGAUGACGGCCUUCGGGUUGUAAACCGCUUUCGCCUGUGACGAAGCGUGAGUGACGGUAAUGGAUAAAGAAGCACCGGCUAACUACGUGCCAGCAGCCGCGGUGAUACGUAGGGUGCGAGCGUUGUCCGGAUUUAUUGGGCGUAAAGGGCUCGUAGGUGGUUGAUCGCGUCGGAAGUGUAAUCUUGGGGCUUAACCCUGAGCGUGCUUUCGAUACGGGUUGACUUGAGGAAGGUAGGGGAGAAUGGAAUUCCUGGUGGAGCGGUGGAAUGCGCAGAUAUCAGGAGGAACACCAGUGGCGAAGGCGGUUCUCUGGGCCUUUCCUGACGCUGAGGAGCGAAAGCGUGGGGAGCGAACAGGCUUAGAUACCCUGGUAGUCCACGCUGUAAACGGUGGGUACUAGGUGUGGGGUCCAUUCCACGGGUUCCGUGCCGUAGCUAACGCUUUAAGUACCCCGCCUGGGGAGUACGGCCGCAAGGCUAAAACUCAAAGGAAUUGACGGGGCCCCGCACAAGCGGCGGAGCAUGCGGAUUAAUUCGAUGCAACGCGUAGAACCUUACCUGGGUUUGACAUGGAUCGGGAGUGCUCAGAGAUGGGUGUGCCUCUUUUGGGGUCGGUUCACAGGUGGUGCAUGGCUGUCGUCAGCUCGUGUCGUGAGAUGUUGGGUUAAGUCCCGCAACGAGCGCAACCCUUGUUCACUGUUGCCAGCACGUUAUGGUGGGGACUCAGUGGAGACCGCCGGGGUCAACUCGGAGGAAGGUGGGGAUGACGUCAAGUCAUCAUGCCCCUUAUGUCCAGGGCUUCACGCAUGCUACAAUGGCUGGUACAGAGAGUGGCGAGCCUGUGAGGGUGAGCGAAUCUCGGAAAGCCGGUCUCAGUUCGGAUUGGGGUCUGCAACUCGACCUCAUGAAGUCGGAGUCGCUAGUAAUCGCAGAUCAGCAACGCUGCGGUGAAUACGUUCCCGGGGCU
Molecule: ribosomal RNA, 1346 nt
Filed under: uncultured bacterium
Lineage: Bacteria
Description: partial 16S ribosomal RNA
Rfam family: Bacterial small subunit ribosomal RNA
Source: RNAcentral